This 497-nucleotide ribosomal RNA is filed under the name uncultured bacterium. Its description in RNAcentral is "partial 16S ribosomal RNA". It matches the Rfam family "Bacterial small subunit ribosomal RNA", at positions 28 to 507 of the family's 1533-position model. The record is from RNAcentral.
GAUGAACGCUGGCGGCGUGCCUAAUACAUGCAAGUCGAGCGAACAGACGAGGAGCUUGCUCCUCUGACGUUAGCGGCGGACGGGUGAGUAACACGUGGAUAACCUACCUAUAAGACUGGGAUAACUUCGGGAAACCGGAGCUAAUACCGGAUGAUAUAUUGAACCGCAUGGUUCAAUAGUGAAAGACGGUUUUGCUGUCACUUAUAGAUGGAUCCGCGCUGCAUUAGCUAGUUGGUAAGGUAACGGCUUACCAAGGCGACGAUGCGUAGCCGACCUGAGAGGGUGAUCGGCCACACUGGAACUGAGACACGGUCCAGACUCCUACGGGAGGCAGCAGUAGGGAAUCUUCCGCAAUGGGCGAAAGCCUGACGGAGCAACGCCGCGUGAGUGAUGAAGGUCUUCGGAUCGUAAAACUCUGUUAUUAGGGAAGAACAAAUGUGUAAGUAACUAUGCACGUCUUGACGGUACCUAAUCAGAAAGCCACGGCUAACUACGUG